CGAGAACUUUGUCCUCUUCCAUCAUCCACAUGUCCCGAGAGUCCAGAAACGUAUAUGGUGUCUSCCUGGGACAAGUGCACACUAAUACUGUCUCUCCUUUUUAUCUAGGCUGCUGUGCUCUUGGGCAUCACUGCAGUAGCUGAAAUCCUGCUAGAUGGGCCAGGCAAGAUAAAAUGCAGAGCUGGGAGACAUGCGUGGACUCCUCGGCACRGACACACUUACAAGGACAGAUCCAGUGCCUUCAAGGAAACCACCUCACGCUGUAUUAGCAGGCAUUCUCUGUCAGUCCGGCUUUGGGUUCCCAUCUCCAGGCUAAAGCUGCAAAACCAGCUACCUCCAAGUUCACGGUGYCUUGGAGGCUCCCGUGCUCCUGCUUUCCCUGCGCUCCAGCCCCUGCAAAGAGGCAGCUGCUCCCGUUUCCUGUGCACGGUAAAAGGCCACCUUGGAGCAAAGGUGACUGUGCUGGAUUUGCAGCUGGGAAGACGGUUGUCACCACCCAGGUGCGUCCGUUGCACCGGCCUGGGAGGAAGGUGGGAGAGACCCACCGACGACAAGCACGGCGGAGAACUCAGGUAGGAGCAGCGUUCGGUCAGCAACGGAGAUAGAAAUUUUGAGAAAACCCUGUGAAGAGA
Molecule: long non-coding RNA, 632 nt
Filed under: Dromaius novaehollandiae (emu)
Lineage: Eukaryota; Metazoa; Chordata; Aves; Casuariiformes; Dromaiidae
Description: lncRNA (ENSDNVG00000013912.1)
Source: RNAcentral